AUCUUCUCUCCUCUUUAAUAAAAUCAAUAUUUCAAAAUCUCCAUUGAAAGAGGCUUGGAGCUUUGAAAAAAGGUGACUCUUCUCAAGGUAUUCUCAACUGAAUUGGCCUAAGGAGCGUUUGAAGAUGUGAUGCAAACAUGAAGACUUUCUUUCAAUUCAAACUCCAUGGUCGGAGGACAACACAGCUAGAAGGAUAAAUCAUGCAAUAUAUUUAGAUGAAGAGAUUUGGAAGAAAUUAAUUUAUGAUCUAAGAUAGUUAUUCUAAAGUUGGUCGACAGAAUCAAGGAGUUGAAAGGGGCAUUGUCAUUUUAUGAAAGUAGGGGGAAAUGAGCGAUGAAGAAGAAGGAGAAGAAGAGAAAAUAUUAUAAUUAAAAGUUCAUUGUCGUGAUUUUCAUGUAAUUUUUCUAUUUAUAU
This is a long non-coding RNA of Capsicum annuum, 414 nucleotides long. RefSeq lists it as uncharacterized. NCBI's taxonomy places the organism in Eukaryota, Viridiplantae, Streptophyta, Magnoliopsida, Solanales, Solanaceae. The record is from RefSeq and is a predicted model, not a curated record. The transcript is spliced from 3 exons.